UACAGAGGUCUCAAGCGUUGUUCGGAUUCAUUGGGCGUAAAGGGUGCGUAGGUGGCGCUGUAAGUCGGGUGUGAAAUCUCGGAGCUUAACUCCGAAACUGCAUUCGAUACUGCCGUGCUUGAGGACUGGAGAGGAGACUGGAAUUUACGGUGUAGCGGUGAAAUGCGUAGAUAUCGUAAGGAAGACCAGUGGCGAAGGCGGGUCUCUGGACAGUUCCUGACACUGAGGCACGAAGGCCAGGGGAGCAAACGGG
Molecule: ribosomal RNA, 253 nt
Filed under: uncultured bacterium
Lineage: Bacteria
Description: partial 16S ribosomal RNA
Rfam family: Bacterial small subunit ribosomal RNA
Source: RNAcentral